AACACAGCUGGUGGUAUCCAGU
Molecule: microRNA, 22 nt
Filed under: Drosophila ananassae
Lineage: Eukaryota; Metazoa; Arthropoda; Insecta; Diptera; Drosophilidae
Also listed under: 2 other names
Description: miR-317-RA
Source: RNAcentral